Molecule: ribosomal RNA, 378 nt
Filed under: uncultured Bacteroides sp.
Lineage: Bacteria; Pseudomonadati; Bacteroidota; Bacteroidia; Bacteroidales; Bacteroidaceae
Description: bacterial SSU rRNA
Rfam family: Bacterial small subunit ribosomal RNA
Source: RNAcentral
GCUCAGGAUGAACGCUAGCUACAGGCUUAACACAUGCAAGUCGAGGGGCAGCAUGGUCUUAGCUUGCUAAGGCUGAUGGCGACCGGCGCACGGGUGAGUAACACGUAUCCAACUUGCCGUCUACUCUUGGCCAGCCUUCUGAAAGGAAGAUUAAUCCAGGAUGGGAUCAUGAGUUCACAUGUCCGCAUGAUUAAAGGUAUUUUCCGGUAGACGAUGGGGAUGCGUUCCAUUAGAUAGUAGGCGGGGUAACGGCCCACCUAGUCAACGAUGGAUAGGGGUUCUGAGAGGAAGGUCCCCCACAUUGGAACUGAGACACGGUCCAAACUCCUACGGGAGGCAGCAGUGAGGAAUAUUGGUCAAUGGGCGAUGGCCUGAACC